Molecule: ribosomal RNA, 468 nt
Filed under: uncultured bacterium
Lineage: Bacteria
Description: partial 16S ribosomal RNA
Rfam family: Bacterial small subunit ribosomal RNA
Source: RNAcentral
GACGAACGCUGGCGGCGUGCUUAACACAUGCAAGUCGAACGGAAAUGCCCUGCUUUUGUGGGGUUCUCGAGUGGCGAACGGGUGAGUAACACGUGAGUAACCUGCCCUUUACUUUGUGAUAACUUCAGGAAACUGGGGCUAAUACCGGAUAGGAGCUCCUGCUGCAUGGUGGUGGUUGGAAAGUUUCGGCGGUUGUGGAUGGACUCGCGGCUUAUCAGCUUGUUGGUGGGGUAGUGGCUUACCAAGGCUUUGACGGGUAGCCGGCCUGAGAGGGUGACCGGCCACAUUGGGACUGAGAUACGGCCCAGACUCCUACGGGAGGCAGCAGUGGGGAAUAUUGCACAAUGGGCGGAAGCCUGAUGCAGCAACGCCGCGUGCGGGAUGACGGCCUUCGGGUUGUAAACCGCUUUCGCCUGUGACGAAGCGUGAGUGACGGUAAUGGGUAAAGAAGCACCGGCUAACUACGUG